AACGCACAUUGCGCCCUUUGGCAUUCCGAAGGGCAUACCUGUUCGAGCGUCAUUUCAACCGUCAAGCUUGGCUUGGUGUUGGGCGUUUUGUCCCGCUGCAUGCGCGGACUCGCCUCAAAAGAAUCGGCGUCUGCAUGUGGGCCUGAUGCGUAGUAAAAUUCGCAGACCAGGCUGGCGUGCUGGCGGCCGGAACGCACUAUAUCUUUUUGUUUGACCUCGGAUCAGGUAGGGAUACCCGCUGAACUUAA
Molecule: unclassified non-coding RNA, 248 nt
Filed under: uncultured fungus
Lineage: Eukaryota; Fungi
Description: sequence contains ITS2
Source: RNAcentral